RNAcentral lists this unclassified non-coding RNA (387 nucleotides) under soil metagenome. RNAcentral's name for it is "partial contains 5.8S ribosomal RNA, internal transcribed spacer 2, and large subunit ribosomal RNA". The stretch from base 1 to 120 matches the Rfam family "5.8S ribosomal RNA", at positions 35 to 154 of the family's 154-position model. The record is from RNAcentral.
GAUGAAGAACGCAGUGAAAUGCGAUAAGUAAUGUGAAUUGCAGAAUUCAGUGAAUCAUCGAAUCUUUGAACGCACCUUGCACCCUUUGGCAUUCCGAAGGGUAUGCUCGUUUGAGUGUCAUUGUACUCUCACACUCUCCGAUCCUAUGGAUUCGGGGAGCGGUGGACUUGGGUGUUGCUGCCUUUCCUUGUGGCUCACCUCAAAUGUGUCAGUGCACCUCUUGGUUGGACAUAGUACGGCGUGAUAAGUGUCUUCGCCGGCACCUCGCAAGAGGGUGGCCGAUCGGGAGCUCUGUGCUUUCAAACCGUCUUCGGACAAUUUCUGACAACUUGACCUCAAAUCGAGUAGGACUACCCGCUGAACUUAAGCAGAUCAAUAAGCGGAGGA